This 2237-nucleotide ribosomal RNA is filed under the name Prevotella ihumii. Its description in RNAcentral is "bacterial LSU rRNA". It matches the Rfam family "Bacterial large subunit ribosomal RNA", at positions 1 to 2232 of the family's 2925-position model. Lineage: Bacteria; Pseudomonadati; Bacteroidota; Bacteroidia; Bacteroidales; Prevotellaceae. The record is from RNAcentral.
GAAAGUAAUUAAGGGCGAAUGGCGGAUGCCUUGGCUCAUGGAGGCGAUGAAGGACGUGAUAAGCUGCGAUAAGCUUCGGGUAAGUGCAAAUAACUUUUGAUCCGAGGAUUUCCGAAUGGGACAACCUAACAUAUUGAAGGUAUGUUAUUCAUAAUUUAUUUAUGAAGGCUAACGCAGGGAACUGAAACAUCUUAGUACCUGUAGGAAGAGAAAAUAAUUUAAUGAUUCCCCCAGUAGUGGCGAGCGACCGGGGAAGAGCCCAAACCACAGACGUAGCAAUGCGUCUUUGGGGUUGUAGGACCACGUUGUGGUACUUAGCGAGUGAGGAGAAAUGUUUGGAAAGACAUUCCAUAGUGGGUGAUAGACCCGUAUCCGAAGCUUAAUAAGACUUAGUGGUAUCCUGAGUAACGCGGAACACGUGUAAUUCUGCGCGAAUCUGCCGGGACCAUCCGGUAAGGCUAAAUACUCCCAUGAGACCGAUAGUGAAUUAGUACCGUGAGGGAAAGGUGAAAAGCACUCCUAUUAGGAGAGUGAAAUAGUUCCUGAAACCAUUCGCCUACAAGCGGUCGGAGCAUUAUUUUAAUGUGACGGCGUGCCUUUUGCAUAAUGAACCUACGAGUUACCAUGUCUGGCAAGGUUAAGAGUUUCAUUCUCCGAGCCGUAGUGAAAGCGAGCCUGAAUAGGGCGUUUAGUCAGAUGGGGUAGACGCGAAACCAAGUGAUCUACACUUGACCAGGUUGAAGUUCCGGUAACACGGAAUGGAGGACCGCACGGAUAAGCGUUGAAAAGCUUCCCGAUGAGUUGAGUGUAGGAGUGAAAGGCCAAUCAAACUUGGAGAUAGCUCGUACUCCCCGAAAGGCAUUUAGGUGCCGCGUGCAAUGUUCUCCAUAAGAGGUAGAGCGACCGAUAGGUCAAGAGGGCUUCACCGCCUAUCGAGACCUGACGAACUCCGAAUGCUUAUGGACAGUAGUUGCGCAGUAAGGGGGCGGGUGCUAAGGUCCGUCCCCGAGAGGAGAAGAAUCCUGACCGCCAUCUAAGGUCCCCAAAUUCUGUACUAAGUUAGUCUAACGAAGUCUGGUCCCCGUGACAGCUAGGAUGUUGGCUUGGAAGCAGCCAUUCAUUCAAAGAGUGCGUAACAGCUCACUAGUCGAGGGUCCGGGCAUGGAUAAUAAUCGGGUAUAAGUCAGAUACCGAAGAUGCGGGAUAGUAUUGUAUAUAAAAAGUAUCGGUAGGGGAGCAUUCCAUAUGCGUUGAAUGGUGUAUGUAAAUUAUCCUGGAGCGUAUGGAAAAGCAAAUGUAGGUAUAAGUAACGAUAAAGGAGGUGAGAUUCCUCCUCGCCGUAAGACUAAGGUUUCCCAGGCGAUGCCAAUCAGCCUGGGGUUAGUCGGGUCCUAAGUUUCAGCCGAAUGGCGAUAGCGAUGGCAGACACGGUUAAUAUUCCGUGACUUGCGUAUUCAGUGAUGUGGAGACGGAGUCGUGACACUGUCGCGCCCUGACGGAAAUGGGCGUUAAAAGUUUUAGGUAUUGAUAGGUGUAGGCAAAUCCGCACCUUGAGCUGAUGACUAAUAGUACAGCAUCCUCUUCGGAGGGAGCUGAUAGCACAGGUAAUCAUACUUCCAAGAAAAUCCGCUAAACUUAAUGUUUACGCAACCCGUACCGCAAACGGACACACGUAGUCGGGUAGAAUAUACUAAGGCGUUGAGAGAUUCAUGGUUAAGGAACUAGGCAAAUUGACCCCGUAACUUCGGGAUAAGGGGUCCUCAUAUUUAACUAUAUGAGGCGCAGAGAAUCGGUCCAGGCAACUGUUUAACAAAAACACAGGGCUGUGCAAACUCGAAAGAUGACGUAUACAGUCUGACACCUGCCCGGUGCUGGAAGGUUAAGAGGAGAGCUUAGGCUUACGCCGAAGGUUUGAAUUGAAGCCCCAGUAAACGGCGGCCGUAACUAUAACGGUCCUAAGGUAGCGAAAUUCCUUGUCGGGUAAGUUCCGACCUGCACGAAUGGUGUAAUGAUCUGGACGCUGUCUCAACCAUGAGCUCAGUGAAAUUGUAGUAUCGGUGAAGAUGCCGAUUACCCGCGAUGGGACGAAAAGACCCCGUGAACCUUUACUACAGCUUAGCAUUGAUCUUGGUCAUCCGAUGUGUAGGAUAGGCCGGAGGCUUUGAAGCGGGCACGCCAGUGUUUGUGGAGCCUUCCUUGAAAUACGGCCCUUUGGCUGUCUGAGGUCUAACUCGAUA